This 261-nucleotide long non-coding RNA is filed under the name Elaeis guineensis (African oil palm). RNAcentral describes it as "long non-coding RNA (EGUI_LNC060608)". Lineage: Eukaryota; Viridiplantae; Streptophyta; Magnoliopsida; Arecales; Arecaceae. The record is from RNAcentral.
CCCUAGGCGUUCUUCGAGUCAUCCCUGUCCUCACCCUUCUACAUCCAUCGGAGUGAUCUAGGUUAGUCCCGAAACCUUCACUUCUGUUCUCGCCAUCUAGGUGCCCUUUCUCCUCCAUUUUUCCUCUACCGCAUCCCUCUGGCUUGGUCCCCUGCAAACUUUCCACCUCUUGUCCCGCCUGAUUUCUCUAGGAUCUUUAGGGUUUUCGUUCGAGAUGUCCUCCAGCAUCUCCGCCUCCAGGAGUUUGUCCUCCUCAGCCCC